Molecule: ribosomal RNA, 2500 nt
Filed under: Shigella flexneri
Lineage: Bacteria; Pseudomonadati; Pseudomonadota; Gammaproteobacteria; Enterobacterales; Enterobacteriaceae
Description: partial 23S ribosomal RNA
Rfam family: Bacterial large subunit ribosomal RNA
Source: RNAcentral
CCUCCAAGGCUAAAUACUCCUGACUGACCGAUAGUGAACCAGUACCGUGAGGGAAAGGCGAAAAGAACCCCGGCGAGGGGAGUGAAAAAGAACCUGAAACCGUGUACGUACAAGCAGUGGGAGCACGCUUAGGCGUGUGACUGCGUACCUUUUGUAUAAUGGGUCAGCGACUUAUAUUCUGUAGCAAGGUUAACCGAAUAGGGGAGCCGAAGGGAAACCGAGUCUUAACUGGGCGUUAAGUUGCAGGGUAUAGACCCGAAACCCGGUGAUCUAGCCAUGGGCAGGUUGAAGGUUGGGUAACACUAACUGGAGGACCGAACCGACUAAUGUUGAAAAAUUAGCGGAUGACUUGUGGCUGGGGGUGAAAGGCCAAUCAAACCGGGAGAUAGCUGGUUCUCCCCGAAAGCUAUUUAGGUAGCGCCUCGUGAAUUCAUCUCCGGGGGUAGAGCACUGUUUCGGCAAGGGGGUCAUCCCGACUUACCAACCCGAUGCAAACUGCGAAUACCGGAGAAUGUUAUCACGGGAGACACACGGCGGGUGCUAACGUCCGUCGUGAAGAGGGAAACAACCCAGACCGCCAGCUAAGGUCCCAAAGUCAUGGUUAAGUGGGAAACGAUGUGGGAAGGCCCAGACAGCCAGGAUGUUGGCUUAGAAGCAGCCAUCAUUUAAAGAAAGCGUAAUAGCUCACUGGUCGAGUCGGCCUGCGCGGAAGAUGUAACGGGGCUAAACCAUGCACCGAAGCUGCGGCAGCGACGCUUAUGCGUUGUUGGGUAGGGGAGCGUUCUGUAAGCCUGUGAAGGUGUGCUGUGAGGUAUGCUGGAGGUAUCAGAAGUGCGAAUGCUGACAUAAGUAACGAUAAAGCGGGUGAAAAGCCCGCUCGCCGGAAGACCAAGGGUUCCUGUCCAACGUUAAUCGGGGCAGGGUGAGUCGACCCCUAAGGCGAGGCCGAAAGGCGUAGUCGAUGGGAAACAGGUUAAUAUUCCUGUACUUGGUGUUACUGCGAAGGGGGGACGGAGAAGGCUAUGUUGGCCGGGCGACGGUUGUCCCGGUUUAAGCGUGUAGGCUGGUUUUCCAGGCAAAUCCGGAAAAUCAAGGCCGAGGCGUGAUGACGAGGCACUACGGUGCUGAAGCAACAAAUGCCCUGCUUCCAGGAAAAGCCUCUAAGCAUCAGGUAACAUCAAAUCGUACCCCAAACCGACACAGGUGGUCAGGUAGAGAAUACCAAGGCGCUUGAGAGAACUCGGGUGAAGGAACUAGGCAAAAUGGUGCCGUAACUUCGGGAGAAGGCACGCUGAUACGUAGGUGAAGCGACUUGCUCGUGGAGCUGAAAUCAGUCGAAGAUACCAGCUGGCUGCAACUGUUUAUUAAAAACACAGCACUGUGCAAACACGAAAGUGGACGUAUACGGUGUGACGCCUGCCCGGUGCCGGAAGGUUAAUUGAUGGGGUUAGCGCAAGCGAAGCUCUUGAUCGAAGCCCCGGUAAACGGCGGCCGUAACUAUAACGGUCCUAAGGUAGCGAAAUUCCUUGUCGGGUAAGUUCCGACCUGCACGAAUGGCGUAAUGAUGGCCAGGCUGUCUCCACCCGAGACUCAGUGAAAUUGAACUCGCUGUGAAGAUGCAGUGUACCCGCGGCAAGACGGAAAGACCCCGUGAACCUUUACUAUAGCUUGACACUGAACAUUGAGCCUUGAUGUGUAGGAUAGGUGGGAGGCUUUGAAGUGUGGACGCCAGUCUGCAUGGAGCCGACCUUGAAAUACCACCCUUUAAUGUUUGAUGUUCUAACGUGGACCCGUGAUCCGGGUUGCGGACAGUGUCUGGUGGGUAGUUUGACUGGGGCGGUCUCCUCCUAAAGAGUAACGGAGGAGCACGAAGGUUGGCUAAUCCUGGUCGGACAUCAGGAGGUUAGUGCAAUGGCAUAAGCCAGCUUGACUGCGAGCGUGACGGCGCGAGCAGGUGCGAAAGCAGGUCAUAGUGAUCCGGUGGUUCUGAAUGGAAGGGCCAUCGCUCAACGGAUAAAAGGUACUCCGGGGAUAACAGGCUGAUACCGCCCAAGAGUUCAUAUCGACGGCGGUGUUUGGCACCUCGAUGUCGGCUCAUCACAUCCUGGGGCUGAAGUAGGUCCCAAGGGUAUGGCUGUUCGCCAUUUAAAGUGGUACGCGAGCUGGGUUUAGAACGUCGUGAGACAGUUCGGUCCCUAUCUGCCGUGGGCGCUGGAGAACUGAGGGGGGCUGCUCCUAGUACGAGAGGACCGGAGUGGACGCAUCACUGGUGUUCGGGUUGUCAUGCCAAUGGCACUGCCCGGUAGCUAAAUGCGGAAGAGAUAAGUGCUGAAAGCAUCUAAGCACGAAACUUGCCCCGAGAUGAGUUCUCCCUGACCCUUUAAGGGUCCUGAAGGAACGUUGAAGACGACGACGUUGAUAGGCCGGGUGUGUAAGCGCAGCGAUGCGUUGAGCUAACCGGUACUAAUGAACCGUGAGGCUUAACCUUACAACGCCGAAG